AAAGGAUAAACAUUAUGGAUUUCCAUUAUCUCAAGCAAACUUUCAAUAUUAUGUGUUGCUUCUCUUAAAUGAGAUAAAAACCCAAGGAUGCAAAAAACUUUAUAUAAAAUAGUGCGAAGAAGAAGUAGUAACUGAAAUGAACAGCAUAAUAGAAUUUGAUAAGUUUGACUCAGCACUUGACAAUGUUUCAUCUAGUAACUCAGUAGUAUCUCUGCAGUUGUAAAUUGCUAAAUACUGAUUUGACAGAAACAAAGAGUUCAAAAUAUUAGUGGUAAGAACUGUCAAAAACUUGUGAUAGCUAUGAAGAAGAGGUUAGUAAAUUAAAAGUGCAUUCCUAUAAAUACUCUGUUUAAUUUUAUAAUGAUAUUACUCCCAUUUUACAAUCCAUUAUACAAUUCCCAUGCAUGGCUCUACGUUAGCCGUUUUACCAUAAUGGGAUGACUGAAUAACCGUGAAUUUCAUACGCGCAAACUAGCACAUGUGCAAAGCAGUUACAAAAACUGGCACAAUGCCAAAUGGCAUAAGUGCAAAUGGGCAUAACUGCACAAAAAGAAUUCCAAACAUUGGCAUAAUUGCAAACUGCUAUAAGUGCAAACUGGCAUAUGUGUAAAUUGGCAUAAGUGCGCUAAAUAGAUUUACAAACAUUCGCAUAAGUGUGAAUUGCCAUAAGUGGGAACUGGUAUAAGUGUGAAGCAGUUGCAAAAACUCGCAAAAGUGCAAACAACAUAAAUGCAAACUGGCAUAAGUGUGCCAAAUAAAUUUGCAA
This is a non-coding RNA of Hydra vulgaris (swiftwater hydra), 766 nucleotides long. The record is from RefSeq and is a predicted model, not a curated record. NCBI's taxonomy places the organism in Eukaryota, Metazoa, Cnidaria, Hydrozoa, Anthoathecata, Hydridae.